UAUGUGAUCGUCUCUCGCAUAUCAAUAAGCGGAGGAAAAGAGACUAACAAGGAUUCCCCUAGUAACGGCGAGUGUAGCGGGAAGAGCUCAAAUUUGAAAUCUUAAAGGGUUUCCCUUUACGAAUUGUAGUUUAAAGAAGUGUUUUCUGUUGAGGUUUUGGUAAAAGUUCUUUGGAAUAGGACAUCAUAGAGGGUGAGAAUCCCGUAUUUGACCUUUACUUUCAACUUUGUGAUACACUUUCAAAGAGUCGGAUUGUUUGGGAAUGCAGUCCAAAAUGGGUGGUAAAUUUCAUCUAAAGCUAAAUAUUGGCGAGAGACCGAUAGCGAACAAGUACCGUGAGGGAAAGAUGAAAAGAACUUUGAAAAGAGAGUUAAACAGUACGUGAAAUUGUCAAAAGGGAAGCGUUUGACACCAGUGUUGUUUUUCUGAAAAUCAAUUAAAGAACUGUUUAUGCUAAGUUGUUUAGACUUUAUCAGCUAUCUGUUUAGUUUUGAGCUUUUCUUUAAUGCACUUUUCAGUUAACAAGUCAACAUCAAUUUCUUUUGCUGUAAAAAAGCUUGAGGAAGGUGGCUUGAGAUUCGUCUUAAGUGUUUAUAGCCUCUUGCCUAUGCAGUCGGAGAGAUUGAGGUCUGCAGCGUAGAUCCUUCGGGGCUAAAUGCAUUUGUGCUAAGUUAUAGCAUUUUAUAGACAACUUGUUGACUAUGAUUUGUCUUGUAGCUUACUCGCUUAUGUUAUUUUACCUACGCUUAGGAUGUUGAAGAUAUGCGCGACACG
RNAcentral lists this ribosomal RNA (774 nucleotides) under uncultured Neocallimastigales. RNAcentral describes it as "partial large subunit ribosomal RNA". It matches the Rfam family "Eukaryotic large subunit ribosomal RNA", at positions 24 to 644 of the family's 3401-position model. The record is from RNAcentral. Lineage: Eukaryota; Fungi; Neocallimastigomycota; Neocallimastigomycetes; Neocallimastigales.